UACGUAGGGGGCGAGCGUUGUCCGGAAUUAUUGGGCGUAAAGAGCGUGUAGGCUGUUCGGUAAGUCUGCCGUGAAAACCUGAGGCUCAACCUCGGGCGUGCGGUGGAUACUGCCGGGCUAGAGGACGGUAGAGGCGAGUGGAAUUCCCGGUGUAGCGGUGAAAUGCGCAGAUAUCGGGAGGAACACCUAUGGCGAAGGCAGCUCGCUGGGACGUUACUGACGCUGAGACGCGAAAGCGUGGGGAGCAAACAGG
This 253-nucleotide ribosomal RNA is filed under the name uncultured bacterium. Its description in RNAcentral is "partial 16S ribosomal RNA". It matches the Rfam family "Bacterial small subunit ribosomal RNA", at positions 524 to 776 of the family's 1533-position model. The record is from RNAcentral.